RNAcentral lists this ribosomal RNA (652 nucleotides) under Escherichia coli. Its description in RNAcentral is "bacterial SSU rRNA". It matches the Rfam family "Bacterial small subunit ribosomal RNA", at positions 870 to 1522 of the family's 1533-position model. The record is from RNAcentral. RNAcentral also lists the same sequence under 1 other name. Lineage: Bacteria; Pseudomonadati; Pseudomonadota; Gammaproteobacteria; Enterobacterales; Enterobacteriaceae.
CGCCUGGGGAGUACGGCCGCAAGGUUAAAACUCAAAUGAAUUGACGGGGGCCCGCACAAGCGGUGGAGCAUGUGGUUUAAUUCGAUGCAACGCGAAGAACCUUACCUGGUCUUGACAUCCACAGAACUUUCCAGAGAUGGAUUGGUGCCUUCGGGAACUGUGAGACAGGUGCUGCAUGGCUGUCGUCAGCUCGUGUUGUGAAAUGUUGGGUUAAGUCCCGCAACGAGCGCAACCCUUAUCCUUUGUUGCCAGCGGUCCGGCCGGGAACUCAAAGGAGACUGCCAGUGAUAAACUGGAGGAAGGUGGGGAUGACGUCAAGUCAUCAUGGCCCUUACGACCAGGGCUACACACGUGCUACAAUGGCGCAUACAAAGAGAAGCGACCUCGCGAGAGCAAGCGGACCUCAUAAAGUGCGUCGUAGUCCGGAUUGGAGUCUGCAACUCGACUCCAUGAAGUCGGAAUCGCUAGUAAUCGUGGAUCAGAAUGCCACGGUGAAUACGUUCCCGGGCCUUGUACACACCGCCCGUCACACCAUGGGAGUGGGUUGCAAAAGAAGUAGGUAGCUUAACCUUCGGGAGGGCGCUUACCACUUUGUGAUUCAUGACUGGGGUGAAGUCGUAACAAGGUAACCGUAGGGGAACCUGCGGUUGGA